GUGAAAACAUACAGUGAAGUCUAAACCCUCCAUCCAAGCAGCCAUUGUAGGAAAUGUUUCUGUUGGAAAAGAUGGUAACAUAUGAAAAUAUUCCUAAAUCUCAUUUUUCCUCUGAAGCAUUACUUAACCCUCAGGCAAUAAAUUUCACUGAACUCACUGAAGUGAGAAAUGGACCUUUUUAAUAAGGCUUUUAACUACACAUCUUAAUGAAACUUAAACAAAUGGUGUCCCUGCCACUAUGUUGGCUGCAUGUGUGUUUAUGUAUACUAUGUAAGAAGCAUACAUAUUUUUCAUGUUUAGAGAUUUACUGUUCUAUGGUAAUUUUCAAACAGCACUGGAAAAUAAACAGACAAUUCUUUCUUUUUAAUAACUGCAGUUUGCCAGCUUUCUUCUUUACCUGAGUAAUGACCACCAGGAGGGGCUUCACAGCAGCUUGUUUUGUUCCUAGAUCCAGAAAAAUAUGUGCAUUUGCCUACAAGGACAGUGUGCAUUUUAAGAGCCAGCUGUUACCAGGACUGCAAGCAUUCCUGUUGUUUGUUUUUGGAGGAGCCCUGUGUGGUUGUGUCGAAGCCCAGACGAUGUACAAAUUCGCCAGUGGUCACUGUGAAGAACACCAUGAUAUUUUAAAGGUAAAGGAAUCAAAUUUACAUCAGUUGCUUCCAGGACUCGUAUCCUGUGCCAGCAGAAGUGGAAGAGAUACUGUUUUGUAGAGAGCUGCUCUGAUCAGUAUUCUUGAUGUGUGUCGUAGUGGUAGGAAGUAGCAAUAAUCAUAAUUAUAUUAAAACUCCCAUAUACUACGAAGCUAAGUGUUAAAGGGGAUAAAGCUAAGCAUGGGUAGCUAGCUGGGUAGUACCAGCUACUAUUUUCAGUAGUAAAGCAUGUUAUGUAUGUUGUGCAUGUCAUACACUGACUGAUCCCUUUCAUUCUGAAAGGGAUUUCCAGGUAUAUCUUGGGUAUUUUUAGCAAAAGUGGAAGAAAAACAUAAUGUAAAACAAGAAUAGAUUUUCCUAUUGUUUAUAGAGACAGUUUUGAUUUCCUAGGAGUAAGCAAAGGGCAUGAGGGUAAUAACUGACUUGAAGAAAGAAUGUGAAUUAGAAAGGGCAAUAAUCCUUGGAGCUUGCCCUGCUGCUGGAAAGCAGUGGGUUUCCUUCUGGCCAGAGCAAAGUUUUCAGUGAGAUUGGACACAUCAAAGCAGGUUACAAAGACCAGACUGCUGGUUUCCCUAAAAAACACUCUGCAGAUGUUUGAGCACACAUUAACAGAACUAUUUCUUAAAAGUCCAGCUACAACAAAUUACAUCAAAUAACUGCAAGCAGUUUCAUUGCUUGGUGCCCUGAUCUUCCCUGCAAAUUAUUUGGGCAGAGUCCAAGUAUGAGAAAUACCGGCAAAACCUAGUAAUGUAUCCUUGCAGAAACUGAUCCAACAGUAGAAAGAGGAAUUCUAAUUCAACUAGUAAAUGUAAAAGGGAUUUCUUUGUCAUACUUGCCAUCCAUACAAAUUACUGGGUUACCCAGCUACCCAAACUUUAUCUGUGUCCAUACCCCCUCAGUAAAAUUCUCCAGCUCAAUUGCCACAUGUAAUAGUCUACUCACCUAAUCACCUCUUAUUUUUCUCCUUCCAGGUUUCUAUGUCAAUGCAUGAGUUUUUAAAUAAUUUGAUAAUUUUCAUAACGUGCUUGGACUUGAUUCUCUAACCUGUAUUUCAGGAAGCAGUUCAUCAGUGUGGGUGACUCCAUGGUAGCCUCACCUGAAAACUUUCCAGGUUUCCUAAAUUCCACUGUCUUGCACAUGUUUGUUAUAACUUCAUAGCAACUAUGUCCAUAUGCAGAAUGAUGAAAGGGUGAUUUAUUUUUUAUUAUCUGACUAGAAUAAUGCUGAAGAAGCAAUGAAGCUUGUGUAUUAUGAAAAGACAGAACAGGGAUAUCCGAGCAUGUACAGUGGGGGAAUAAGAAAUGAAUUUUACAGCAUCCUUCAGAAAGUUUAUCAUAAGGAAAACUUGUCUUUGAAACCUUCUCUUCCUCAGUGGGAAAAUAAUAUAUACGUGAAAAUCAUGGGUUUUCUUGGCUUCUAGUAUCACCAGAGUUUUCUUGGAAGUAAAGGAGCAGUCCUGCUUUCAUUAAUUCCAAAAAAGCUUUGCAUUCAAGCUAUUCACCUGGAGUGAAGGGCUACCUAAUUCAGUCUGCACACAUGGAUUAUGCAUCCUAUGUGAAAGUCUUUGAUCCAUGAGAAAACCAACAUUUGUUGAUCUGUUUUGCACCGUAUCUUGCAAUGAAUGCUUUUGCAUAUAUGUAUUUUAUUGUAUCUGAUGUCUAAAAAAGAAUUUACUGAAUAACACUUGAGUGAAUAAACUGAAAGUUUCUCAAGAGUCA
This is a long non-coding RNA of Junco hyemalis (dark-eyed junco), 2368 nucleotides long. The record is from Ensembl. Lineage: Eukaryota; Metazoa; Chordata; Aves; Passeriformes; Passerellidae.